GGUUUGUGUGGCAUGACUACUUAUCUAAAUUGGACCGCUAGGAGUGAGUCACCCACUACAUAAUUUAUUUCCAUCCCGAACAGUUGGUGUAGCCGGCGGGACAUCUACUUCAUGAGGUUUCCCAGAAGCUUUUCCAAUUUCGUCCCCUAACUUGUGGAAUACCUCCCUGAGUCAGCAGACUUUGCGACAAGACGGGAGAAGAGAAGUCACCGCUGCAGGUGGUGCUACCUGGAGCCAUGAGCCAAAGAUAGUGGGAUCGCUGUUCUCUAAAUGCAAGAGGAAGGCUGCCCCCCAAGGGACAAGUGAAUCUUGUCUCGCUGAGCAGGCCAGCACCCAUCUGGUUGUUGUCUCGAGGAAAACACAGGAGUACCAUGGUAAAUAUGUUCGAAUCAAGAUUAAGGAAAUGGACUAAUGCAGAGGCACAAACAACUUGCCUUGAAAAUAUUGUUCAAGUUGCAAAUGGAAUGCCUGACAGGUAUUUUGAUUUUGCACACUUGGUGAAGCAGCUAUGUGUCACAGCCAGGAUUUAUGGGGCUAAACUCCCUAACUUUGACUGUUCUGGAACGUGAGUGCCUUAUUACCCUUUAUAAGCAUGGAAUAAACAAAAGUUAAAAACUGAGAUAUGAGGAAAGUUGGAAAAUGUUCAUGUGGGUGGGUGCGAGAGAGAGACUGACUCAGCGCUGGUUCCCUGCAGCUUGGAGAAAGGUUAACCCUUUGUGAUCUGGUUUGAAUGCACAUUUGCUUGCUGGUGAUUGAAUGUUUAUAUUUUGUCCCCUUGAGCUCGAGAUUGGGGACUGUUUUGAAUUUGACUUGCAUUUUGGGAAUUUAAGAUAAUUUCUUUUAAGGUUAAGGAACCAUCAGUGAUUAUGAAAUGAAAUAUUAACCCACCCCAUUCUUCUUACAGACAAUGACUGCCCUACUGUCAAUAUCUAACUAAUAAUUGUUUAUGCUUACACCUUAAUGGGUG
This is a non-coding RNA of Chiloscyllium plagiosum (whitespotted bambooshark), 967 nucleotides long. NCBI's taxonomy places the organism in Eukaryota, Metazoa, Chordata, Chondrichthyes, Orectolobiformes, Hemiscylliidae. The record is from RefSeq and is a predicted model, not a curated record.